ACGGGAGGCAGCAGUGGGGAAUAUUGGACAAUGGGCGCAAGCCUGAUCCAGCCAUACCGCGUGGGUGAAGAAGGCCUUCGGGUUGUAAAGCCCUUUUGUUGGGAAAGAAAUCCAGCCGGCUAAUACCUGGUUGGGAUGACGGUACCCAAAGAAUAAGCACCGGCUAACUUCGUGCCAGCAGCCGCGGUAAUACGAAGGGUGCAAGCGUUACUCGGAAUUACUGGGCGUAAAGCGUGCGUAGGUGGUUGUUUAAGUCUGUUGUGAAAGCCCUGGGCUCAACCUGGGAACUGCAGUGGAAACUGGACAACUAGAGUGUGGUAGAGGGUAGCGGAAUUCCCGGUGUAGCAGUGAAAUGCGUAGAGAUCGGGAGGAACAUCCAUGGCGAAGGCAGCUACCUGGACCAACACUGACACUGAGGCACGAAAGCGUGGGGAGCAAACAGGAUUAGAUACCCUGGUAGUCCACGCCCUAAACGAUGCGAACUGGAUGUUGGGUGCAAUUUGGCACGCAGUAUCGAAGCUAACGCGUUA
This 530-nucleotide ribosomal RNA is filed under the name uncultured Stenotrophomonas sp. Its description in RNAcentral is "bacterial SSU rRNA". It matches the Rfam family "Bacterial small subunit ribosomal RNA", at positions 341 to 862 of the family's 1533-position model. Lineage: Bacteria; Pseudomonadati; Pseudomonadota; Gammaproteobacteria; Lysobacterales; Lysobacteraceae. The record is from RNAcentral.